This 709-nucleotide ribosomal RNA is filed under the name uncultured fungus. RNAcentral's name for it is "eukaryotic LSU rRNA". The stretch from base 297 to 450 matches the Rfam family "5.8S ribosomal RNA". The record is from RNAcentral. Lineage: Eukaryota; Fungi.
AAGUCGUAACAAGGUUUCCGUAGGUGAACCUGCGGAAGGAUCAUUAUUGAAUACGAAUCGGUUCUGAUGCUGGCCCUUCACCGGGCAUGUGCUCGCUCCGAAUCCAUUUAUCUUCUCUUGUGCACCUCUUGUAGUCUUUGAAAGAAGUGAACCUCUCGCAGCAAUGCGGUCUGGGGGGACUGGGUCAAACCUUCCCCUGCUUGCUUUCUUCUUGGCUAUGUUUUCAUAUACACUAUAAAGUUACAGAAUGUCUUUUUUUAACGAUUGUCGCUCGCGCGCAGUCAUUAAACCUAUACAACUUUCAGCAACGGAUCUCUUGGCUCUCCCAUCGAUGAAGAACGCAGCGAAAUGCGAUAAGUAAUGUGAAUUGCAGAAUUCAGUGAAUCAUCGAAUCUUUGAACGCACCUUGCGCCCUUUGGUAUUCCGAAGGGCAUGCCUGUUUGAGUGUCAUUAAAUUCUCAACCUUGCUCGCCUUUACCGGCUUGAGUGGGGCUUGGACGUGAGGGCUUUGCUGGCUUCCUUAAGUGGAUGGUCUGCUCCCUUUAAAUGCAUUAGUGGGAUCUCUUGUGGACCGUCACUUGGUGUGAUAAUUAUCUACGCCUCGUCGACUUUGAAGCAAACUUAUGGGAACCUGCUUAUAACCGUCUCGCAAGGGACAACUUUCUGACAUUUUGACCUCAAAUCAGGUAGGACUACCCGCUGAACUUAA